GAUGAACGCUAGCGGCAGGCCUAACACAUGCAAGUCGAGGGGUAUAAAAGAGCUUGCUUUUUUAGAGACCGGCAAACGGGUGCGGAAACACGUACGCAAUCUGCCCUUAUCACGGGGAUAGCCCAGAGAAAUUUGGAUUAAUACCCGAUAGUAUUAUAAUAAGGCAAUCUUGUUGUAAUUAAAGCUAUGGCGGAUAAGGGUGAGCGUGCGCAAGAUUAGCUAGUUGGUGAGGUAACGGCUCACCAAGGCGACGAUCUUUAGCUGAUGUGAGAGCAUGAUCAGCCACACGGGCACUGAGACACGGGCCCGA
RNAcentral lists this ribosomal RNA (310 nucleotides) under uncultured bacterium. RNAcentral describes it as "bacterial SSU rRNA". It matches the Rfam family "Bacterial small subunit ribosomal RNA", at positions 28 to 335 of the family's 1533-position model. The record is from RNAcentral.